AGGGCGCACGGUGGAUGCCUUGGCACCAGGAGCCGAUGAAGGACGUAGGAGCCUGCGAUAAGCCUCGAGGAGCUGGCAACCGAGCUGUGAUUCGAGGAUGUCCGAAUGGGGAAACCCGGCUGGAGAUGUGUCCAGUCACCUGCACCUGAAUAUAUAGGGUGUUGGGAGGGAACGUCGGGAAGUGAAACAUCUCAGUACCGGCAGGAAGAGAAAGCAACCGCGAUUCCGUGAGUAGUGGCGAGCGAAAGCGGAUGAGGCUAAACCGGUCGCGUGUGAUAGCCGGCAGGCGUUGCGCGGUCGGGGUCGAGGGACCAUUCAGACCUUACUGCCGUUGGGUCGGGGAGUGAUAAAGAUGUGUCAUAGUCGAACGGUCUUGAAAGGCCGGGCAUAGUGGGUGCUACCCCCGUAGACGAAAUGGCAUGUCCUCCCGAGUGGGAUCCCAAGUAGUACGGGGCCCGAGAAAUCCCGUAUGAAUCUGGGGGGACCACCCCCUAAGCCUAAAUACUCCCUGGUGACCGAUAGCGGACUAGUACCGUGAGGGAAAGGUGAAAAAGUACCCCGGGAGGGGAGUGAAAUAGUACCUGAAACCGUGUGCCUACAAUCCGUCGGAGCCGACUUGUAUCGGUGACGGCGUGCCUUUUGAAGAAUGAGCCUGCGAGUUAGUGGUGUGUGGCGAGGUUAACCCGUGUGGGGAAGCCGUAGCGAAAGCGAGUCCGAUAAGGGCGGUUGAGUCGCAUGCUCUAGACCCGAAGCGGAGUGAUCUACCCAUGGCCAGGUUGAAGCGCGGGUAAGACCGCGUGGAGGACCGAACCCACUUAGGUUGAAAAACUGAGGGGAUGAGCUGUGGGUAGGGGUGAAAGGCCAAUCAAACUCCGUGAUAGCUGGUUCUCCCCGAAAUGCAUUUAGGUGCAGCGUCACGUGUUUCUUGCCGGAGGUAGAGCUACUGGAUGGCUAAUGGGCCCUACAAGGUUACUGACGUCAGCCAAACUCCGAAUGCCGGUAAGUGAGAGCGUGGCAGUGAGACUGCGGGGGAUAAGCUCCGUAGUCGAGAGGGAAACAGCCCAGAUCACCAGCUAAGGCCCCUAAGCGUGUGCUAAGUGGGAAAGGAUGUGGAGUUGCUUAGACAACCAGGAGGUUGGCUUAGAAGCAGCCACCCUUUAAAGAGUGCGUAAUAGCUCACUGGUCAAGUGAUUCCGCGCCGACAAUGUAGCGGGGCUCAAGUACACCGCCGAAGCUGUGACAUUCACACAAUAACUAAGCCUUUGUGGUUCAGGUGUGUGGGUGGGUAGGGGAGCGUCGUGUGGCGGGUGAAGCAGCGGGGUGACCCAGUUGUGGACGCUACACGAGUGAGAAUGCAGGCAUGAGUAGCGAAAGACGGGUGAGAAACCCGUCCGCCGAAUGACCAAGGGUUCCAGGGCCAGGCUAAUCCGCCCUGGGUAAGUCGGGACCUAAGGCGAGGCCGACAGGCGUAGUCGAUGGACAACGGGUUGAUAUUCCCGUACCGGCGAAGGACCGUCCAUAAUGAACCUCGUGAUGCUAAGUUCGUGAAGUCAUGCCGGCCUCGGGUGGGUGUGGUGGAGCCUACGGUCCGAUCGGGUAGUAGUUAAGCGAUGGGGUGACGCAGGAAGGUAGCCUCCGCGUGGCGAUGGUUGUCCACGUUUAAGAGUGUAGGGCGAGUCGUAGGCAAAUCCGCGACUCUCAGUUUGAUCUGGGGCCUGAGACUUGAUGAUGACCGCAUUUGCGGGAAGAGGGUGAUCCUAUGCUGCCGAGAAAAAAGCCUCUAGCGAGGUCCGAGCCGCCCGUACCCUAAACCGACUCAGGUGGUCAGGUAGAGAAUACUAAGGCGAUCGAGUGAAUCAUGGUUAAGGAACUCGGCAAAAAUGCCCCCGUAACUUCGGGAGAAGGGGGGCCUGAGGCGUGAUCCCACUUGCUGGGUUAGCGUUUGAUGGCCGCAGAGACCAGGGAGAAGCGACUGUUUACUAAAAACACAGGUCCGUGCGAAGUCGCAAGACGAUGUAUACGGACUGACGCCUGCCCGGUGCUGGAACGUUAAGGGGACCGGUUAACCUCACGGUGAAGCUGAGAACUUAAGCGCCAGUAAACGGCGGUGGUAACUAUAACCAUCCUAAGGUAGCGAAAUUCCUUGUCGGGUAAGUUCCGACCUGCACGAAUGGCGUAACGACUUCUCCGCUGUCUCAACCAUGAACUCGGCGAAAUUGCACUACGAGUAAAGAUGCUCGUUACGCGCAGCAGGACGGAAAGACCCCGGGACCUUUACUAUAGCUUGGUAUUGGUGUUCGGUACGGCUUGUGUAGGAUAGGUGGGAGACUGUGAAGCUGGCACGCUAGUGUUGGUGGAGUCAACGUUGAAAUACCACUCUGGUCGUUCUGGAUGUCUAACCUCGGUCCGUGAUCCGGAUCAGGGACAGUGCCUGGUGGGUAGUUUAACUGGGGCGGUUGCCUCCUAAAGAGUAACGGAGGCGCCCAAAGGUUCCCUCAGCCUGGUUGGCAAUCAGGUGUCGAGUGUAAGUGCACAAGGGAGCUUGACUGUGAGAGAGACAUCUCGAGCAGGGACGAAAGUCGGGACUAGUGAUCCGGCCGUGGAUUGUGGAAUCGCGGUCGCUCAACGGAUAAAAAGGUACCCCGGGGAUAACAGGCUGAUCUUGCCCAAGAGUCCAUAUCGACGGCAUGGUUUGGCACCUCGAUGUCGGCUCGUCGCAUCCUGGGGCUGGAGUAGGUCCCAAGGGUUGGGCUGUUCGCCCAUUAAAGCGGUACGCGAGCUGGGUUUAGAACGUCGUGAGACAGUUCGGUCCCUAUCCGCUGCGCGCGCAGGAAACUUGAGAAGGGCUGUCCCUAGUACGAGAGGACCGGGACGGACGAACCUCUGGUGUGCCAGUUGUUCUGCCAAGGGCAUGGCUGGUUGGCUACGUUCGGAAGGGAUAACCGCUGAAGGCAUCUAAGCGGGAAGCUCGCUUCAAGAUGAGGUUUCCAUGGGGUUUACCCUGUGAGGCUCCCAGCUAGACUACUGUUGA
Molecule: ribosomal RNA, 3031 nt
Filed under: Kineosporia rhamnosa JCM 9954
Lineage: Bacteria; Bacillati; Actinomycetota; Actinomycetes; Kineosporiales; Kineosporiaceae
Description: bacterial LSU rRNA
Rfam family: Bacterial large subunit ribosomal RNA
Source: RNAcentral